Molecule: ribosomal RNA, 460 nt
Filed under: uncultured bacterium
Lineage: Bacteria
Description: partial 16S ribosomal RNA
Rfam family: Bacterial small subunit ribosomal RNA
Source: RNAcentral
CCUACGGGCGGCAGCAGUGAGGAAUAUUGGUCAAUGGACGAGAGUCUGAACCAGCCAAGUAGCGUGAAGGAUGACUGCCCUAUGGGUUGUAAACUUCUUUUAUAAGGGAAUAAAACGAGGCACGUGUGCCUUUUUGCAUGUACUUUAUGAAUAAGGAUCGGCUAACUCCGUGCCAGCAGCCGCGGUAAUACGGAGGAUCCGAGCGUUAUCCGGAUUUAUUGGGUUUAAAGGGAGCGCAGAUGGGUUGUUAAGUCAGUUGUGAAAGUUUGCGGCUCAACCGUAAAAUUGCAAUUGAUACUGGCAGUCUUGAGUACAGUUGAGGUAGGCGGAAUUCGUGGUGUAGCCGUGAAAUGCUUAGAUAUCACGAAGAACCCCGAUUGCGAAGGCAGCUUACUAAACUGUGACUGACAUUGAUGCUCGAAAGUGUGGGUAUCAAACAGGAUUAGAUACCCCGGUAGUC